GGGGGUACAAGUGCGUGCACCGAUCAGAGGUAGCGGGUGGAGUUGAACUGCAAGCUCUGAGAAUUCAGCUGGUGAGUGUGGUUUGAGCUUGGUCAAGUCAGUUGGACCCUGUGGUUCGCGAAGCACUUAGCAAGUGUUGCGGGCCAUGGGUGUUCUUCGGGCUGACUCGCCGGUGCACUUUCUCAGAGUGGUCACCACGACCGGCAUCGCUGUCUGGCUGGUGGGGUUAAACCGGUUUUGCAAGGUCCUUGUGGCUCUGCUUGAUCGGGAUGGCAGGUAGCUCGUUGGUUUGCUUGCGAGCCUUCGAGUGUAAUCAGCUGACCACAUCGGUUCUGUGCAGUAUGUCGGAGACGGCGGCUAGUGCGCGUGCGUGCAUAGUUGGUCGGCGUGUCCGGGUUUGGUUGUUACGUGCCUGUUUAUUCAGGCCUGAUGAUGGCUCGGAUUCGUUCGGCUGGCUGUUGCGUGCGUGCACAAUACGGGGCCAAUAGUCUGUGGUGUAGUGGUAACUAUCCACCCGACCCGUCUUGAAACACGGGACCAAGA
RNAcentral lists this ribosomal RNA (543 nucleotides) under Molinostrongylus skrjabini. Its description in RNAcentral is "partial 28S ribosomal RNA". The record is from RNAcentral. Lineage: Eukaryota; Metazoa; Nematoda; Chromadorea; Rhabditida; Molineidae.